RNAcentral lists this long non-coding RNA (1951 nucleotides) under Monodelphis domestica (gray short-tailed opossum). RNAcentral describes it as "lncRNA (ENSMODG00000038190.1)". The record is from RNAcentral. Lineage: Eukaryota; Metazoa; Chordata; Mammalia; Didelphimorphia; Didelphidae.
UUAAGGCAGCUCUUUUUGUCAUGGUGGGCCCAGCUGUGGCCUCCCUGGUGCCCCCUGCCCGCCCCUCCUUUCCAGCCUAGCUUGGCGGGUUCCGGCAUGGCGACUGCUUCUUCUUUACAGACUUCCCUCCCUCUUAGGCCACGAGAGAGCCUCUUCCACCCUCCAGCCUAGAGCUGGGCACUUUCCUGGGCCUGGGGGUUUGGGUCCAGACUUUCCAAAGCCAACACACCCCAGCUAGGAGUUCUUGGAGGCCUGGUUUCCACACUGGCAGAACUCAUGAGUUGAGAGUCAGGCAGACUGGAGUCGGCUCAGUUCCUUUUCCCAGUUUCCUUUUUGGCUUUGCUGAGUCCUGAGUGGCCUCCAUUUUACAGAGGAGGGAACAGGAGACUCAGAGAGGACCUGUGACCUGGCCCAGCAGGGACUUGAACUUGGGCCAUAACUCCUCUCCCCAAAAUGGAUGUGAAAGAGCUUUAUAGGGCAUAAAGUGAGGUUGCUACACCAUGACUUAGGGCCUGACCAUUCACUUGUGAGCUACAGCUCACUGUCACUCUCCUCUGUAGACCGACUCUCCAGUUCUCUCUCCCCGCCUUCCUCCUCCUCCUCCACCACCACCACCUCCACCACCUCCUCUUCCUCUUCCUCCCCCUUUCUCUCUCUCUCCCCCUCUCUCUCUUCUUCUGUCUGUCUCUGUCUUCCUCCUUUUUUUUCUGUCCCUCCCUCUCUUUCUUUUCUCUCUCUCUUUCCUCUGUCUUCCUCCUGCUCCUUCUCUCUGUCUCUCUCUGUCUGUCUCUUUGUCUGUCUGUCUCUGUCUCUGUCUCUCCCUGUCUCCCUCUCUCUCUUUCUUUCUCUCUCCCCCUCUAUCCCUAUUGAUCUCUUCUUCUGUCUCUCUGUCUCUCUCUCUGUCUCUCUCUCUUUCUCCCCUCUCCCUCUCUCUUCUUCUGUCUCUCUGUCUUCCUCCUUUUUUCUGUCCCUCCCUCUAUUUUUCUCUCUAUCCUCUCUUUGUCUUCCUUCUGCUCCUUCUCUCUCUCUGUCUCUCUGUCUCUCUCUCUCUCUGCCUCUUUGUCUCUCUGUCUCUCUGUCUUCCUCCCUCUCUCCCUGUCUCCCUCUCUCUCUGUCUUUGUCUCUCUCUCUUUCUCUCUUUGUCUCUCUGUCUUCCUUCCUCUCUCCCUCUCUCUGUCUCUGUCUCUCUCUCUCUCUCUGUCUCUCUCUCUCUCUCUCUCUCUCUCUCUCUCUCUCUCUCUCUCUCUCUCUCUCUCUGUCUCUUUGCCUCUGUCUUUCUCCCUUUCUGUGUCUCCUUGUCUCUGAUUUUCUUGCAUUUCAAACCCUAAUUCUAACUCCCUCUUUCCCUGAUAGGUCUCCUGGACCUCUCCUUGCUUCCUCCUUGCUGUGUCUAUGGUCCUGUUGUCUGAUGCUCGGUCUUUCCAUUCCAGCAAACCAGAGUUCCCAGAGGCCACCCAGGGUAUGUUUCACUUGGACAUUGGAGGCCUCCCUUCCCACUGCUCUAGACCAUCUACUUCCUGCCCUUGGGCCUAUCCAACUCCCCAGAUCCCAGGGUGUAACUGGUGGGCCACGUCCUGCUGUCCAUGCCUCUUCUAUAGCCCUCAUCAGCUCCCCAAGUCCCCAGCUCAGUCCCAGGCUGGUGGCAGCCAUUGCUGAGAAAGAAGCCCCCUGCCAGUCCUGGGCCCUUGGUGCUGACAGUGUCUGUCCUUCAGGACUAAGCCGAGCCAGGGUCCAGAGCAGGGGCCACCUCCCAGCCAGGCGAGAGUUAAGUCCUUUGUCGCAGAGAAGGGCAAAGCUCACUGCUGCCAGUUAUUUUUUGUUGGUUCUUCUUUUUUUGAAGAAGAGAGAGAGAAAAGAGAGAGACUGUGAGGGCAACCCUUCUGCUUACCUCUUAAAACAACUCUCCCUGGUUAUCGGUCUCACUGGACGCUUUGUGAGAAUAAAAACUUAG